Molecule: ribosomal RNA, 2930 nt
Filed under: Escherichia coli
Lineage: Bacteria; Pseudomonadati; Pseudomonadota; Gammaproteobacteria; Enterobacterales; Enterobacteriaceae
Description: 23S ribosomal RNA
Rfam family: Bacterial large subunit ribosomal RNA
Source: RNAcentral
GGGUUGUGAGGUUAAGCGACUAAGCGUACACGGUGGAUGCCCUGGCAGUCAGAGGCGAUGAAGGACGUGCUAAUCUGCGAUAAGCGUCGGUAAGGUGAUAUGAACCGUUAUAACCGGCGAUUUCCGAAUGGGGAAACCCAGUGUGAUUCGUCACACUAUCAUUAACUGAAUCCAUAGGUUAAUGAGGCGAACCGGGGGAACUGAAACAUCUAAGUACCCCGAGGAAAAGAAAUCAACCGAGAUUCCCCCAGUAGCGGCGAGCGAACGGGGAGCAGCCCAGAGCCUGAAUCAGUGUGUGUGUUAGUGGAAGCGUCUGGAAAGGCGCGCGAUACAGGGUGACAGCCCCGUACACAAAAAUGCACAUACUGUGAGCUCGAUGAGUAGGGCGGGACACGUGGUAUCCUGUCUGAAUAUGGGGGGACCAUCCUCCAAGGCUAAAUACUCCUGACUGACCGAUAGUGAACCAGUACCGUGAGGGAAAGGCGAAAAGAACCCCGGCGAGGGGAGUGAAAAAGAACCUGAAACCGUGUACGUACAAGCAGUGGGAGCACGCUUAGGCGUGUGACUGCGUACCUUUUGUAUAAUGGGUCAGCGACUUAUAUUCUGUAGCAAGGUUAACCGAAUAGGGGAGCCGAAGGGAAACCGAGUCUUAACUGGGCGUUAAGUUGCAGGGUAUAGACCCGAAACCCGGUGAUCUAGCCAUGGGCAGGUUGAAGGUUGGGUAACACUAACUGGAGGACCGAACCGACUAAUGUUGAAAAAUUAGCGGAUGACUUGUGGCUGGGGGUGAAAGGCCAAUCAAACCGGGAGAUAGCUGGUUCUCCCCGAAAGCUAUUUAGGUAGCGCCUCGUGAAUUCAUCUCCGGGGGUAGAGCACUGUUUCGGCAAGGGGGUCAUCCCGACUUACCAACCCGAUGCAAACUGCGAAUACCGGAGAAUGUUAUCACGGGAGACACACGGCGGGUGCUAACGUCCGUCGUGAAGAGGGAAACAACCCAGACCGCCAGCUAAGGUCCCAAAGUCAUGGUUAAGUGGGAAACGAUGUGGGAAGGCCCAGACAGCCAGGAUGUUGGCUUAGAAGCAGCCAUCAUUUAAAGAAAGCGUAAUAGCUCACUGGUCGAGUCGGCCUGCGCGGAAGAUGUAACGGGGCUAAACCAUGCACCGAAGCUGCGGCAGCGACGCUGAUGCGUUGUUGGGUAGGGGAGCGUUCUGUAAGCCUGCGAAGGUGUGCUGUGAGGCAUGCUGGAGGUAUCAGAAGUGCGAAUGCUGACAUAAGUAACGAUAAAGCGGGUGAAAAGCCCGCUCGCCGGAAGACCAAGGGUUCCUGUCCAACGUUAAUCGGGGCAGGGUGAGUCGACCCCUAAGGCGAGGCCGAAAGGCGUAGUCGAUGGGAAACAGGUUAAUAUUCCUGUACUUGGUGUUACUGCGAAGGGGGGACGGAGAAGGCUAUGUUGGCCGGGCGACGGUUGUCCCGGUUUAAGCGUGUAGGCUGGUUUUCCAGGCAAAUCCGGAAAAUCAAGGCUGAGGCGUGAUGACGAGGCACUACGGUGCUGAAGCAACAAAUGCCCUGCUUCCAGGAAAAGCCUCUAAGCAUCAGGUAACAUCAAAUCGUACCCCAAACCGACACAGGUGGUCAGGUAGAGAAUACCAAGGCGCUUGAGAGAACUCGGGUGAAGGAACUAGGCAAAAUGGUGCCGUAACUUCGGGAGAAGGCACGCUGAUAUGUAGGUGAGGUCCCUCGCGGAUGGAGCUGAAAUCAGUCGAAGAUACCAGCUGGCUGCAACUGUUUAUUAAAAACACAGCACUGUGCAAACACGAAAGUGGACGUAUACGGUGUGACGCCUGCCCGGUGCCGGAAGGUUAAUUGAUGGGGUUAGCGCAAGCGAAGCUCUUGAUCGAAGCCCCGGUAAACGGCGGCCGUAACUAUAACGGUCCUAAGGUAGCGAAAUUCCUUGUCGGGUAAGUUCCGACCUGCACGAAUGGCGUAAUGAUGGCCAGGCUGUCUCCACCCGAGACUCAGUGAAAUUGAACUCGCUGUGAAGAUGCAGUGUACCCGCGGCAAGACGGAAAGACCCCGUGAACCUUUACUAUAGCUUGACACUGAACAUUGAGCCUUGAUGUGUAGGAUAGGUGGGAGGCUUUGAAGUGUGGACGCCAGUCUGCAUGGAGCCGACCUUGAAAUACCACCCUUUAAUGUUUGAUGUUCUAACGUUGACCCGUAAUCCGGGUUGCGGACAGUGUCUGGUGGGUAGUUUGACUGGGGCGGUCUCCUCCUAAAGAGUAACGGAGGAGCACGAAGGUUGGCUAAUCCUGGUCGGACAUCAGGAGGUUAGUGCAAUGGCAUAAGCCAGCUUGACUGCGAGCGUGACGGCGCGAGCAGGUGCGAAAGCAGGUCAUAGUGAUCCGGUGGUUCUGAAUGGAAGGGCCAUCGCUCAACGGAUAAAAGGUACUCCGGGGAUAACAGGCUGAUACCGCCCAAGAGUUCAUAUCGACGGCGGUGUUUGGCACCUCGAUGUCGGCUCAUCACAUCCUGGGGCUGAAGUAGGUCCCAAGGGUAUGGCUGUUCGCCAUUUAAAGUGGUACGCGAGCUGGGUUUAGAACGUCGUGAGACAGUUCGGUCCCUAUCUGCCGUGGGCGCUGGAGAACUGAGGGGGGCUGCUCCUAGUACGAGAGGACCGGAGUGGACGCAUCACUGGUGUUCGGGUUGUCAUGCCAAUGGCACUGCCCGGUAGCUAAAUGCGGAAGAGAUAAGUGCUGAAAGCAUCUAAGCACGAAACUUGCCCCGAGAUGAGUUCUCCCUGACCCUUUAAGGGUCCUGAAGGAACGUUGAAGACGACGACGUUGAUAGGCCGGGUGUGUAAGCGCAGCGAUGCGUUGAGCUAACCGGUACUAAUGAACCGUGAGGCUUAACCUUACAACGCCGAAGCUGUU